RNAcentral lists this ribosomal RNA (722 nucleotides) under Salmonella enterica. RNAcentral describes it as "partial 23S ribosomal RNA". It matches the Rfam family "Bacterial large subunit ribosomal RNA", at positions 1 to 652 of the family's 2925-position model. The record is from RNAcentral. Lineage: Bacteria; Pseudomonadati; Pseudomonadota; Gammaproteobacteria; Enterobacterales; Enterobacteriaceae. RNAcentral also lists the same sequence under 1 other name.
GGGUUGUGAGGUUAAGCGACUAAGCGUACACGGUGGAUGCCCUGGCAGUCAGAGGCGAUGAAGGGCGUGCUAAUCUGCGAUAAGCGCCGGUAAGGUGAUAUGAACCGUUAUAACCGGCGAUACCCGAAUGGGGAAACCCAGUGUGAUUCGUCACACUAUCAUUAACUGAAUCCAUAGGUUAAUGAGGCGAACCGGGGGAACUGAAACAUCUAAGUAGCCCGAGGAAAAGAAAUCAACCGAGAUUCCCCCAGUAGCGGCGAGCGAACGGGGAGGAGCCCAGAGCCUGAAUCAGCAUGUGUGUUAGUGGAAGCGUCUGGAAAGGCGCGCGAUACAGGGUGACAGCCCCGUACACAAAAGCGCAUGUGCUGUGAGCUCGAUGAGUAGGGCGGGACACGUGGUAUCCUGUCUGAAUAUGGGGGGACCAUCCUCCAAGGCUAAAUACUCCUGACUGACCGAUAGUGAACCAGUACCGUGAGGGAAAGGCGAAAAGAACCCCGGCGAGGGGAGUGAAAAAGAACCUGAAACCGUGUACGUACAAGCAGUGGGAGCCCCACCACUAAGCCAGUGGUGAACUCCACAUCCGCAUCCUUUGCUGAGGAUACGGUUAACGGAGCGAAAGCGACGUUCAACCGCAAAACAAGCAGAGGGGGCUUAGUGGUGGGGUGACUGCGUACCUUUUGUAUAAUGGGUCAGCGACUUAUAUUCUGUAGCAAGGUUAACCG